CCUACGGGAUGCAGCAGUGGGGAAUAUUGCACAAUGGGCGGAAGCCUGAUGCAGCAACGCUGCGUGCGGGAUGACGGCCUUCGGGUUGUAAACCGCUUUCGCCUGUGACGAAGCGUGAGUAACGGUAAUGGGUAAAGAAGCACCGGCUAACUACGUGCCAGCAGCCGCGGUGAUACGUAGGGUGCGAGCGUUGUCCGGAUUUACUGGGCGUAAAGGGCUCGUAGGUGGUUGAUCGCGUCGGAAGUGUAAUCUUGGGGCUUAACCCUGAGCGUGCUUUCGAUACGGGUUGACUUGAGGAAGGUAGGGGAGAAUGGAAUUCCUGGUGGAGCGGUGGAAUGCGCAGAUAUCAGGAGGAACACCAGUGGCGAAGGCGGUUCUCUGGGCCUUUCCUGACGCUGAGGAGCGAAAGCGUGGGGAGCGAACAGGAUUAGAUACCCCUGUAGUC
This 445-nucleotide ribosomal RNA is filed under the name uncultured bacterium. RNAcentral's name for it is "bacterial SSU rRNA". It matches the Rfam family "Bacterial small subunit ribosomal RNA", at positions 338 to 795 of the family's 1533-position model. The record is from RNAcentral.